Molecule: ribosomal RNA, 750 nt
Filed under: marine gamma proteobacterium SB3
Lineage: Bacteria; Pseudomonadati; Pseudomonadota; Gammaproteobacteria
Description: bacterial SSU rRNA
Rfam family: Bacterial small subunit ribosomal RNA
Source: RNAcentral
AACGCUGGCGGCAGGCCUAACACAUGCAAGUCGAGCGGAAACGACACUANCAAUNCUUCGGGNGCNUUAAUGGGCGUCGAGCGGCGGACGGGUGAGUAAUGCCUAGGAAAUUGCCUUGAUGUGGGGGAUAACCAUUGGAAACGAUGGCUAAUACCGCAUAAUGCCUACGGGCCAAAGAGGGGGANCUUCGGACCUCUCGCGUCAAGAUAUGCCUAGGUGGGAUUAGCUAGUUGGUGAGGUAAUGGCUCACCAAGGCGACGAUCCCUAGCUGGUCUGAGAGGAUGAUCAGCCACACUGGAACUGAGACACGGUCCAGACUCCUACGGGAGGCAGCAGUGGGGAAUAUUGCACAAUGGGCGAAAGCCUGAUGCAGCCAUGCCGCGUGUAUGAAGAAGGCCUUCGGGUUGUAAAGUACUUUCAGUUGUGAGGAAGGGUGUGUAGUUAAUAGCUGCGCAUCUUGACGUUAGCAACAGAAGAAGCACCGGCUAACUCCGUGCCAGCAGCCGCGGUAAUACGGAGGGUGCCGAGCGUUAAUCGGAAUUACUGGGCGUAAAGCGCAUGCAGGUGGUUCAUUAAGUCAGAUGUGAAAGCCCGGGGCUCAACCUCGGAACUGCAUUUGAAACUGGUGAACUAAAAGUGCUGUAAAAGGGGGGUAGAAUUUNAGGUGUAGCGGUGAAAAUGCNUAAANAUCUGAANGGAAUACCAGUGGGCGAAAGGCGGCCCCCUGGACAGACACUGACACUNAAAAUU